This 375-nucleotide ribosomal RNA is filed under the name uncultured organism. RNAcentral's name for it is "partial 16S ribosomal RNA". It matches the Rfam family "Bacterial small subunit ribosomal RNA", at positions 527 to 896 of the family's 1533-position model. The record is from RNAcentral.
GUAGGGAGCAAACGUUGUCCGGAUUUAUUGGGCGUAAAGGGCUCGUAGGCGGUUCAACAAGUCGGUCGUGAAAACCCGGGGCUCAACCCCGGGACGCCGGUCGAAACUGUUGUGACUAGAGUUCGGUGGAGGUGAGUGGAAUUCUCGGUGUAGCGGUGGAAUGCGCAGAUAUCGGGAGGAACACCAUUAGCGAAGGCGGCUCACUGGGCCGAUACUGACGCUGAGGAGCGAAAGCGUGGGGAGCAAACAGGAUUAGAUACCCUGGGUAGUCCACGCCGAAAACGAUGAACACUAGGUGUGGCGGACUGAUUCAUGUCUGCUGCGCCGUAGCUAACGCAUUAAGUGUUCCGCCUGGGGAGUGCGGCCGCAAGGCUA